UACGUAGGGGGCAAGCGUUGUCCGGAAUCAUUGGGCGUAAAGCGCGUGUAGGCGGCCUUGUAAGUCCGUUCUGAAAGCCCGGGGCUCAACCCCGGGAGGCGGAUGGAUACUGCAAGGCUCGAGUACGGAAGAGGCGAGUGGAAUUCCCGGUGUAGCGGUGAAAUGCGCAGAUAUCGGGAGGAACACCAAUGGCGAAGGCGGCGCUCUGGGCCGGAACUGACGCUGAGGAGCGAAAGCGUGGGUAGCAAACAGG
RNAcentral lists this ribosomal RNA (253 nucleotides) under uncultured bacterium. RNAcentral describes it as "partial 16S ribosomal RNA". It matches the Rfam family "Bacterial small subunit ribosomal RNA", at positions 524 to 776 of the family's 1533-position model. The record is from RNAcentral.